UACAGAGGGUGCGAGCGUUAAUCGGAAUUACUGGGCGUAAAGCGUGCGUAGACGGUUAUGUAAGUCAGGUGUGAAAGCCCCGGGCUCAACCUGGGAAUUGCAUUUGAGACUGCAUAGCUAGGGUGCGGAAGAGGGAAGCGGAAUUUCCGGUGUAGCGGUGAAAUGCGUAGAUAUCGGAAGGAACAUCAGUGGCGAAAGCGGCUUCCUGGUCCAGCACCAACGUUCAGGCACGAAAGCGUGGGGAGCAAACAGG
This 253-nucleotide ribosomal RNA is filed under the name uncultured bacterium. RNAcentral describes it as "partial 16S ribosomal RNA". It matches the Rfam family "Bacterial small subunit ribosomal RNA", at positions 524 to 776 of the family's 1533-position model. The record is from RNAcentral.